CGGGUAGAGCGCCGGGCUGUUAACCCGGUGGUCGGAGGUUCAAAUCCUCCCCCCGG
RNAcentral lists this transfer RNA (56 nucleotides) under Desulfurococcaceae archaeon. RNAcentral describes it as "tRNA-Asn". It matches the Rfam family "tRNA", at positions 16 to 64 of the family's 71-position model. From Rfam's summary of the family: Transfer RNA (tRNA) molecules are approximately 80 nucleotides in length. Their secondary structure includes four short double-helical elements and three loops (D, anti-codon, and T loops). Lineage: Archaea; Thermoproteati; Thermoproteota; Thermoprotei; Desulfurococcales; Desulfurococcaceae. The record is from RNAcentral.